UGAGUAACCUGCCCUUAACUCUGGGAUAAGCCUGGGAAACUGGGUCUAAUACCGGAUAUGACUCCUCAUCGCAUGGUGGGGGGUGGAAAGCUUUUUUGUGGUUUUUGGAUGGACUCGCGGCCUAUCAGCUUGUUGGUGAGGUAAUGGCUCACCAAGGCGACGACGGGUAGCCGGCCUGAGAGGGUGACCGGCCACACAGGGACUGAGACACGGCCCAGACCUCCGUACGGGAGGCAG
This 237-nucleotide ribosomal RNA is filed under the name uncultured bacterium. Its description in RNAcentral is "partial 16S ribosomal RNA". It matches the Rfam family "Bacterial small subunit ribosomal RNA", at positions 118 to 351 of the family's 1533-position model. The record is from RNAcentral.